AAAAAUUUGUUCGAGCAGUGAACAAUAUUGUUGCAGCAAAUAAAAUUGUUUUAACAAUUAACUUGAGAUAAAAAUGUCUAAUGAGCAACUGAAUAAGUCGCCAGCUACUGCUACUGCCCAAACAGCUGCAGCCCAAUUUCAGUGGAAUGUUAAUAAAUAUCUAUUGGAAGCUGAUCCUUUCAUAAGUAACUUUAGCCCUAAAGCUGAAACAAGUUUUCGAACAAAUUCUAUUUAGCAGUUAAAUUCAAAAAAUCCCAACAGCUUGAGGUUAUAGACAGCGCUGAAUUAGAGCGACGCGUUCCAGAUCUGUGGAACUAUUUUAAAUAUUUUAACCAUUUUGAACCCUAAGCUGCCUCGCUUUGUGGCAAGUGUCUGCGGCUUAUAGAUUUCACUUUAUGAUAACUUAUAUAUAUUUUUUUUUGCAUUAAGCAUUUUCAAUUCAGCAACUGUUUUAUAUAUUCUAUAUACGUGCUGCCACAUGUGGCUGCAACCAACAAUAGCCGCAUAUUGUGGCAACAAUAAAAAGAGAGAGCUUACACACACACACACACACUGGCGCGAAUUAUGAGGAAUUGUCGCUAGGCUAGGCACUCGGCCAAAAUGCAAAUUGUGCAACACACACACACACACACACACACACAGACACACACCUUGCCACUUGUUUAGUGGCCGUGCCGGCCUUGCUGAGUGCUCAUAAAUAUGCAUUCGAGUGGCGACUCUAUGACCAUUGUGCAGUUGCCACCGCAUAUUAGUGGCAAAUAUUGUUGGCCGACAAUGCAAACCGCUUGUUGAAAAAUGAAAUUGUUUUUCAUUUUGAUAUUUUUAUUGUU
Molecule: long non-coding RNA, 830 nt
Organism: Drosophila busckii
Lineage: Eukaryota; Metazoa; Arthropoda; Insecta; Diptera; Drosophilidae
Exons: 4
Source: RefSeq, a predicted model, not a curated record